RNAcentral lists this ribosomal RNA (708 nucleotides) under uncultured Providencia sp. Its description in RNAcentral is "bacterial SSU rRNA". It matches the Rfam family "Bacterial small subunit ribosomal RNA", at positions 794 to 1502 of the family's 1533-position model. Lineage: Bacteria; Pseudomonadati; Pseudomonadota; Gammaproteobacteria; Enterobacterales; Morganellaceae. The record is from RNAcentral.
UCCACGCUGUAAACGAUGUCGAUUUGGAGGUUGUUCCCUUGAGGAGUGGCUUCCGGAGCUAACGCGUUAAAUCGACCGCUGGGGAGUACGGCCGCAAGGUUAAAACUCAAAUGAAUUGACGGGGGCCCGCACAAGCGGUGGAGCAUGUGGUUUAAUUCGAUGCAACGCGAAGAACCUUACCUACUCUUGACAUCCAGAGAAUUUAGCAGAGAUGCUUUAGUGCCUUCGGGAACUCUGAGACAGGUGCUGCAUGGCUGUCGUCAGCUCGUGUUGUGAAAUGUUGGGUUGAGUCCCGCAACGAGCGCAACCCUUAUCCUUUGUUGCCAGCACGUUAUGGUGGGAACUCAAAGGAGACUGCCGGUGAUAAACCGGAGGAAGGUGGGGAUGACGUCAAGUCAUCAUGGCCCUUACGAGUAGGGCUACACACGUGCUACAAUGGCGUAUACAAAGAGAAGCGACCUCGCGAGAGCAAGCGGAACUCAUAAAGUACGUCGUAGUCCGGAUUGGAGUCUGCAACUCGACUCCAUGAAGUCGGAAUCGCUAGUAAUCGUAGAUCAGAAUGCUACGGUGAAUACGUUCCCGGGCCUUGUACACACCGCCCGUCACACCAUGGGAGUGGGUUGCAAAAGAAGUAGGUAGCUUAACCUUCGGGAGGGCGCUUACCACUUUGUGAUUCAUGACUGGGGUGAAGUCGUAACAAGGUAACCA